Molecule: long non-coding RNA, 1661 nt
Filed under: Vulpes vulpes (red fox)
Lineage: Eukaryota; Metazoa; Chordata; Mammalia; Carnivora; Canidae
Description: lncRNA (ENSVVUG00000015528.1)
Source: RNAcentral
GGAUCACGGAGGUUUAUUAAUGAGAAUUUCCCCGUUCUACCUCUGGGCUUAGUCUGUGUGAAAAUCUAAGAAAGGCUCAUUAGUUUUUAUAUUAGUCAGGGUUCUCCAGAGAAUCCAAACCAAUAGGAUGUACAUAGGUAAAGAGAUUUAUCUUAAGGAAUUAGCUCAUGUGACUAUGACAAUCGGCAAGCUAAAGACCCAGGAGAGCGGUGGUGUGUUUCCAGUUUGAAUGCCAACAGGCUUGAGAUCAGAAAGAGUGGAUGUUUUAGUCUGAGUCCAAAGGCAGGAAAAAAUCAUGUCCCAUCUUAAGGUAGUUGGGCCACAGUUCCUCCUUACUUGGGGGAGGGUCAGCCUUUUGGUUUUAUUCAGGUCCUCAACAGAUUUCAUGAGGCCCACCUGUAUCAGGAAGGCCAAUAGUCCACUGAUUCAAAUGUUAAUCUCAUCCAGAAGUACCCUCCCAGACACACCCAGCAUAAUGCAUGACCAAAAUGUCUGGGCAUCCUGUGGCUUAGUCAAGUUGACAAGUAAAAUUAACAAUUGCAGUUUUCAUUAUGGAAGGCUAACAUUUCAGCCUAAUUGUUUGGUGAUCAAAGCUGAUGAUUCUGUCUCCAAUCAGCCCUACAGAAUGCUGAUCUUCCCACAUCAGAGAUAUGGUAUAUAGGACUUGCUGGAAGCCAAGCUGGUUUGUGACAUCUGGGACACUAGACCUGCUACGUCAGCUGCUAUGAACAGCGGAACUGUUUUAAGUGACUACACUCAAAACUACUCCUUCCCCAGGGUUUUGAUAAUUCCUCCUGCCAAUUAUAGCACUUUGCGGAGAUUAACUAAUUAAUCCUCACCACACACCCAAGAGACAAAAUUAAAGAUAAUUCUUUCACACGUGUAAAGCACUUUUAUCUAAGGAUUACUAGCACCGAGGCAUUUGUCUCCCAUGACAACGUUGCAAGUCUCAGAGAUGACAAAGACGAUCGUUACCAUUUCGGGAACUGGGAACAAAGAAAACUCUCCCCUCCAGGACCCAGAAGAGGACCCUGGGAGGGGGGGUAUCCCAGAACAGGUACACGUUGGCAAGAUUGGCACUGGAGUGCUAUGCCUGCGUUCCUGGGGUCCGAAUGGGCAUGUCCAGGUGGGGCUGUGACCCCCUCUGGCCACCUUUCUUCAUGCUGUCCAUAAAACCCCAGGGAGCUGCAGAGAGAGAGAUGGUUCCACGGGGGUAUCCCAGCCCGUGUUUGGCUUCCUCCUCUCCCCCCUUGUCUCCAAAGUGCGGGUUCCUGAUUCUAUUUGCCAAGUUCUGUCUGUCACUGAGAUGAAGUGGAGCCAGUAGGCCAACGCCGUGGGGCAGGGAGAGCCUGAAAACAGCAUUGCAAACGGAGGACCUCCAGGGAGAGGAGGUAGGUGGGGUGGGAGGGAGACAAGCCAGUCUGCCAAAGCUCUGGAAACAGCAUCUGGGGGGAAAGAGGGGGAAAAGAGCCCUCUGUACUUCGUGACCCGGUGAUGGGUGUGCUGUGAUUCCUUUGUAAUUCUUUGGCAGUGCAGAUGCGUGCUCCUGAGGGCCGCUGAGGCCGGGGACUGCAUGGUCCUGCCUCACGGCGCGGGGGCUCCACCCACGGGGCUCUCAUACGGGGAUGGAGACCCAAACGGUCCCUUUGGAGACACGUGUC